GCCAGCGUGGUGUAGUGGUUUGAAUGUUGGACUAUGACUUUGAAGACCAGGGUUUGACUCUCUGCUUGAGCA
This 72-nucleotide transfer RNA is filed under the name Phrynosoma platyrhinos (Desert horned lizard). Its description in RNAcentral is "tRNA-OTHER". Lineage: Eukaryota; Metazoa; Chordata; Lepidosauria; Squamata; Phrynosomatidae. The record is from RNAcentral.